GCAUAUUAGUAAGCGGAGGAAAAGAAACUAACCAGGAUUUCCUUAGUAGCGGCGAGCGAACAGGAAAUAGCCCAGCACUGAAUCCCGCGGUUGUAACGAUCGCGGGAGAUGUGGUGUUCGGGAGGUAUCGCUUUCUCGUCGUCGCCACUCCUGUCCAAGUUCGUCUUGAACGGGGCCGUUUUCCCGUAGAGGGUGCCAGGCCCGUAGCGACGGAGCGAGACGGCGAGAGGUACACUCCUCAGAGUCGGGUUGCUUGAGAGUGCAGCCCUAAGUGGUGUGGUAAUCUCCAUCUAAGUAUCGACAUUC
Molecule: ribosomal RNA, 306 nt
Filed under: Vanessa annabella
Lineage: Eukaryota; Metazoa; Arthropoda; Insecta; Lepidoptera; Nymphalidae
Description: partial 28S ribosomal RNA
Rfam family: Eukaryotic large subunit ribosomal RNA
Source: RNAcentral